This 446-nucleotide ribosomal RNA is filed under the name uncultured bacterium. RNAcentral describes it as "partial 16S ribosomal RNA". It matches the Rfam family "Bacterial small subunit ribosomal RNA", at positions 356 to 792 of the family's 1533-position model. The record is from RNAcentral.
AGGGAAUCUUCCACAAUGGACGCAAGUCUGAUGGAGCAACGCCGCGUGAGUGAAGAAGGCUUUCGGGUCGUAAAACUCUGUUAUUUGAAGAAGAACGUGUGUGACAGUAACUGGUCAUGCAGUGACGGUAUUCAAUCAGAAAGUCACGGCUAACUACGUGCCAGCAGCCGCGGUAAUACGUAGGUGGCAAGCGUUGUCCGGAUUUAUUGGGCGUAAAGCGAGUGCAGGCGGUCUUUUAAGUCUGAUGUGAAAGCCUUCGGCUUAACCGAAGAAGGGCAUCGGAAACUGGGAGACUUGAGUGCAGAAGAGGAGAGUGGAACUCCAUGUGUAGCGGUGAAAUGCGUAGAUAUAUGGAAGAACACCAGUGGCGAAGGCGGCUCUCUGGUCUGUAACUGACGCUGAGGCUCGAAAGCGUGGGUAGCAAAACAGGAUUAGAUACCCUGGUA